GAUGAACGCUGGCGGCGUGCCUAAUACAUGCAAGUCGAGCGAACAGACGAGGAGCUUGCUCCUCUGAUGUUAGCGGCGGACGGGUGAGUAACACGUGGAUAACCUACCUAUAAGACUGGGAUAACUUCGGGAAACCGGAGCUAAUACCGGAUAACAUGUUGAACCGCAUGGUUCAACAGUGAAAGACGGUCUUGCUGUCACUUAUAGAUGAUCCGCGCCGCAUUAGCUAGUUGGUAAGGUAACGGCUUACCAAGGCAACGAUGCGUAGCCGACCUGAGAGGGUGAUCGGCCACACUGGAACUGAGACACGGUCCAGACUCCUACGGGAGGCAGCAGUAGGGAAUCUGCCGCAAUGGGCGAAAGCCUGACGGAGCAACGCCGCGUGAGUGAAGAAGGGCUUCGGAUCGUAAAACUCUGUUAUUAGGGAAGAACAAAUGUGUAAGUAACUAUGCACGUCUUGACGGUACCUAAUCAGAAAGCCACGGCUAACUACGUG
Molecule: ribosomal RNA, 496 nt
Filed under: uncultured bacterium
Lineage: Bacteria
Description: partial 16S ribosomal RNA
Rfam family: Bacterial small subunit ribosomal RNA
Source: RNAcentral